GACGAAGGAUGCAAGCGUUAUCCGGAUUCAUUGGGUUUAAAAGGGAGCGUAGGUGGCCUUAUAAGUCAGUGGUGAAAUCUCUGGGCUUAACCCAGAAAUUGCCAUUGAUACUGUAGGGCUUGAGUACAGUUGCUGUGGGCGGAAUAUGACAUGUAGUGGUGAAAUACAUAGAGAUGUCAUAGAACACCGAUUGCGAAGGCAGCUCACAAAACUGUAACUGACACUGAGGCUCGAAAGUGCGGGGAUCAAACAGG
This 254-nucleotide ribosomal RNA is filed under the name uncultured bacterium. RNAcentral describes it as "partial 16S ribosomal RNA". It matches the Rfam family "Bacterial small subunit ribosomal RNA", at positions 524 to 776 of the family's 1533-position model. The record is from RNAcentral.